GUCUAUUGGAGCUGGUUGGUAUGUCUAGGUAAUGUGUCGAACACGUUUUUUUAUGUAUCGCGUUUUAAAACUGCAUUAACCUAAUGUCAAGUUUAAGUGUACUGUUAGCUAGCUUAUGUUAGCUGGCUGGCUCGCUAGCUAACGUUAUGUGUAUGCUCGGAGAAAAAAAAAAAGAAAUGUAUGCAUUCACUACUGUAAGUCGCUCUGGAUAAGAGCAUCUGCUAAAUGACUAAAAUGUAAAUGUAAUGCUCUCCACUUUCUGGAGCACCGAGUUUUGAAAUCAGUGGAACUCGAGUAUGAUAGCGAAGGAGAUGGAGAAAACAUCAGUCUGGAUUACAUCUUCAAACUAAGGGCAACCAUGCAUGGCAUCAGACAGGAGACGCAUCCAACCAUGAUGUAUACGGCAGGGUCUACUCAAUCAACGUAGAACGCCUGGGGAAAUCAGGCCAGAAGUCCACAGCUGCAGUUGGAACCUCAGCACGACUAGGGGCUCAGAUCCUCCGGGAGUAGAGAAACAGAGAGAAAAGGACAGUGGUUCUUGGUCCCCUGGCUGAGGCUGUCCCCCACGGCACCCCUCCAUCCCCCCCUGAAUGUCGAGAGAGGUCCAGCCUAUGUCGUCAGAUCCCUAUUGGACUCCCGACAUCGUGGGGAUUGACUCCAGUACCUGGUGGACUAGGAGGGGUACGGUCCAGAGGAGCGGUGUUGGGUUCCGGUGGAGGACAUUCUGGAUCCCAAAGUCAUCCGUGAUUUCCAUCUUAGCAGCUCGGACCGGCCCGCUCCUCAUCCUCGGGGCCAUCCUUUUGACCGGCGUCGUCCUGCG
Molecule: long non-coding RNA, 820 nt
Filed under: Salmo salar (Atlantic salmon)
Lineage: Eukaryota; Metazoa; Chordata; Actinopteri; Salmoniformes; Salmonidae
Description: lncRNA (ENSSSAG00000092919.1)
Rfam family: UnaL2 LINE 3' element (bases 182-235)
Source: RNAcentral